Long non-coding RNA from Drosophila subobscura, 571 nucleotides. RefSeq lists it as uncharacterized. NCBI's taxonomy places the organism in Eukaryota, Metazoa, Arthropoda, Insecta, Diptera, Drosophilidae. The record is from RefSeq and is a predicted model, not a curated record. The transcript has 2 exons.
AAAAGAUUUUUAUAAUUUAUUUUUAAUUUUUGCCUUCUUUUUGCUUUCCUUUCGUCGACAAAAUAAACCAACAACAAAACUCGGUCAAAAUUCUCUGUCGGCGGCGAUCAUCAUUUAUUCAUUCUCCCUCCUUCUCUAUUUUCACUUGAGUUUAUUUUCAUUUGAAUUUCCUCGGUGUCUGAUCGGCGUUGAUUUGCGGCAGAGUGGUCGUUGUCGACGCGUAAUUACGAGUUUUAGUUGCAGCGCAGCCGCCUCGCUCGCAUCGCGAUACGAACAUUAGCCACAAUCUUUCUCCUCCUACUCGUCGGCGGAGAAGGCCAAUUAUGUAAACUUUUCGAGUGCGUUUUUAAUCGCGUUGAACUUCGGGGCAACCGCUGUCUGCCACCGCCUGAUCCCUCGCCGCUCUUUAAACUCUUAGUAGUUCCAGUGUGAAAGAGAAAGAGACCCUUUCAAUGCAUCUCCAGUAGUUCCAGUUUAAUUUUUAGUCCGUGUCGUGGCAGCGCGUCCCGUCCGAGAGCCGUUCGUCGCGAGCCCGUCCGUUCGUCGCGUUGAAAACGAAAGAAAAGCAAAG